This is a long non-coding RNA of Strongylocentrotus purpuratus (purple sea urchin), 452 nucleotides long. RefSeq lists it as uncharacterized. The transcript is spliced from 3 exons. The record is from RefSeq and is a predicted model, not a curated record. Lineage: Eukaryota; Metazoa; Echinodermata; Echinoidea; Camarodonta; Strongylocentrotidae.
ACUACUGUGCAUGUUGUUGAGGUCGCAAUCGCAGCAGUCUGAUUCAUGCACGACGCUACUCGCACAAAGUGAGAAGAUUUAGUUCACGGAGAAUGGAGAAUGGAUUGAAACUGAAGAGCUGGAAGGAGGACAUUACAACAUCUCUUAUAUUUGCAAGAUGACGCAGAAAGUCCCAUGCAGGAUGAUGCUUCUCUACGAGGAUGAUGAAGGCAUGCUGGUUUAUAAAUUCGGGAGAGGAACAAAGAACAGAUAUUGACGGGAUCAUAUCUAGAGAUGCAGGCCUACUACACUUCAUACGAGCAAGUGUACUAAUAUACAUGAAGGUGCCCCUUAUAAACUUUUGUGGAACACAUGUCAUGCAGAAAAUUAUAGAUCUGAAAAAGAUAUUUUUCAUUGUCAGUUGACUUGUAAAAGAAUUAUUGACUGAAUAUCACAAUUGUUAUUUAGAUUAA